RNAcentral lists this ribosomal RNA (253 nucleotides) under uncultured bacterium. Its description in RNAcentral is "partial 16S ribosomal RNA". It matches the Rfam family "Bacterial small subunit ribosomal RNA", at positions 524 to 776 of the family's 1533-position model. The record is from RNAcentral.
UACGUAGGGUGCAAGCGUUAAUCGGAAUUACUGGGCGUAAAGCGUGCGCAGGCGGUUAUGCAAGGCAGAUGUGAAAUCCCCGGGCUCAACCUGGGAACUGCAUUUGUGACUGCAAGGCUAGAGUACGGUAGAGGGGGAUGGAAUUCCGCGUGUAGCAGUGAAAUGCGUAGAUAUGCGGAGGAACACCGAUGGCGAAGGCAAUCCCCUGGACCUGUACUGACGCUCAUGCACGAAAGCGUGGGGAGCAAACAGG